Molecule: ribosomal RNA, 395 nt
Filed under: Streptococcus sp.
Lineage: Bacteria; Bacillati; Bacillota; Bacilli; Lactobacillales; Streptococcaceae
Description: bacterial SSU rRNA
Rfam family: Bacterial small subunit ribosomal RNA
Source: RNAcentral
CUGACGAGCACGCCGCGUGAGUGAGAGGUUUUCGGAUCGUAAAGCUCUGUUGUAAGUCAAGAACGAGUGUGAGAGUGGAAAGUUCACACUGUGACGGUAGCUUACCAGAAAGGGACGGCUAACUACGUGCCAGCAGCCGCGGUAAUACGUAGGUCCCGAGCGUUGUCCGGAUUUAUUGGGCGUAAAGCGAGCGCAGGCGGUUUGAUAAGUCUGAAGUUAAAGGCUGUGGCUCAACCAUAGUUCGCUUUGGAAACUGUCAAACUUGAGUGCAGAAGGGGAGAGUGGAAUUCCAUGUGUAGCGGUGAAAUGCGUAGAUAUAUGGAGGAACACCGGUGGCGAAAGCGGCUCUCUGGUCUGUAACUGACGCUGAGGCUCGAAAGCGUGGGGAGCGAACA